UGUGUUUCACUCCUUUCGUAUAUAUUGUAAACCUUCACAUUAAUGUGAAGG
Molecule: non-coding RNA, 51 nt
Organism: Bacillus cereus Rock3-44
Lineage: Bacteria; Bacillati; Bacillota; Bacilli; Caryophanales; Bacillaceae
Source: Rfam